This 660-nucleotide ribosomal RNA is filed under the name uncultured Bacteroidota bacterium. RNAcentral's name for it is "bacterial SSU rRNA". It matches the Rfam family "Bacterial small subunit ribosomal RNA", at positions 50 to 695 of the family's 1533-position model. The record is from RNAcentral. Lineage: Bacteria; Pseudomonadati; Bacteroidota.
AACACAUGCAAGUCGAGGGGCAGCGGGGACGGGGCUUCGGCCCCGUCCGCCGGCGACCGGCGCACGGGUGAGUAACACGUAUGCAACCUGCCCUUUGCAGGGGAAUAAGCAGGAGAAAUCCUGUCUAAUUCCGCAUAAUCCCCUGGGAGGACAUCCUCCCCGGGGCAAAGGAGCGAUCCGGCAAAGGAUGGGCAUGCGCCGCAUUAGCUGGUUGGUGAGGUAACGGCCCACCAAGGCGACGAUGCGUAGGGGUUCUGAGAGGAAGACCCCCCACACUGGUACUGAGACACGGACCAGACUCCUACGGGAGGCAGCAGUGAGGAAUAUUGGUCAAUGGGCGCAAGCCUGAACCAGCCAAGUAGCGUGAGGGACGACGGUCCUAUGGAUUGUAAACCUCUUUAGCCGGGGAGCAAGGCCUUCCACGCGUGGGAGGCAAGAGAGUACCCGGAGAAUAAGCAUCGGCUAACUCCGUGCCAGCAGCCGCGGUAAUACGGAGGAUGCGAGCGUUAUCCGGAUUUAUUGGGUUUAAAGGGUGCGUAGGCGGGGCCUUAAGUCAGCGGUAAAAUCAGCGGGCUCAACCCGUUCCGGCCGUUGAAACUGAGGUCCUUGAGUGGGCGAGAAGUAUGCGGAAUGCGUGGUGUAGCGGUGAAAUGCAUAGAU